Molecule: ribosomal RNA, 429 nt
Filed under: Verrucomicrobiota bacterium
Lineage: Bacteria; Pseudomonadati; Verrucomicrobiota
Description: Verrucomicrobia bacterium partial 16S ribosomal RNA
Rfam family: Bacterial small subunit ribosomal RNA
Source: RNAcentral
UAGGGAAUCUUCGGCAAUGGGGGGAACCCUGACCGAGCAACGCCGCGUGAGUGAAGAAGGUUUUCGGAUCGUAAAGCUCUGUUGUUAAGGAAGAACGAGUGUGAGAAUGGAAAGUUCAUGCUGUGACGGUACUUAACCAGAAAGGGACGGCUAACUACGUGCCAGCAGCCGCGGUAAUACGUAGGUCCCGAGCGUUGUCCGGAUUUAUUGGGCGUAAAGCGAGCGCAGGCGGUUAGAAAAGUCUGAAGUGAAAGGCAAUGGCUCAACCAUUGUAGGCUUUAGAAACUGUUUAACUUGAGUGCAUAAGGGAAGAGUGGAAUUCCAUGUGUAGCGGUGAAAUGCGUGGAUAUAUGGAGGAACACCGGUGGCGAAAGCGGCUCUCUAGUCUGUAACUGACGAUAAGGCUCGAAAGCGUAGGGAGCGAACAGG